Pseudophryne corroboree (corroboree frog) is the source of this 219-nucleotide long non-coding RNA. RefSeq lists it as uncharacterized. The transcript is spliced from 3 exons. NCBI's taxonomy places the organism in Eukaryota, Metazoa, Chordata, Amphibia, Anura, Myobatrachidae. The record is from RefSeq and is a predicted model, not a curated record.
UGGUGGAACCUUAUAGUCUCUUCUGUAGUUGGGAUUCAGUGAGGUUGCACUUGUUCCUGUAAAAAGGAAUAGUUUCGUUCAGGAUUUGAAAUUUUCCUAAGUUCUCUGUUUGGUGACAUGUAUAAACAGAGGUAGACUAUAAGGUUCCACCAUUCUUGAUUGAAAAUAGGGAACGUAACAUCAUCUAAUUUCAACCAAAUUUAUAUAUAUUUUUUUUUU